CAUUGGAAAAGACUUCCCAGUUCCGGACAGGUGUGUCUCUCAAGCUUCCCCCUUCUAACACCUCCCCAGGAGCUCUGCUCUGCUUAGAGUUCUCGCUGGCAGGCCUUCACUGUGAGGCUUCCACUCUCCCGAGUGCCUGGUCUGCAGAUGUUCCAAGCGCCUUGCCUCUUGGAAAUUAUUUGGGAAAACCUCUUCAUUAGAUACUUUCCUUAACAGAUACUCCGAUACUUAGCUAGACGCUGAGUGGCAGGUGGAAGAGGCCUUGGAAGCUGUCAAAAAUGCUACAAAUGAACAAGACCUUGCACAUCGCUUUAAAGAAUUUGUCAAAGAAAUGGUGAAACUCAACUAUGGAGCAGCAAGAAGACAACAGAGCUGAAGGACCCUCACUGUCGGAAUGAGAUGGCAGCCGCCCGAGGGGCUCUAAAGAAGAAUGCCACAAUGCUGUACACAGCCUCCCAAGCGUUUCUCUGCCACCCAGAUGUUGCUGCCACCAGAGCCAACCGAGAUUAUGUGUUUAAACAAGUCCAGGAAGCCAUUGCUGGCAUCUCCAAUGCUGCUCAAGCUACCUCGCCCACCGAUGAAGCCAAAGGCCACACAGGCAUCGGUGAGCUGGCUGCAGUUCUGAAUGAGUUUGAUUAAGCAGUAAACCCUGCCAGGACCUAGUAAUAGGAGUAGAAGCACUGAAUGCGGAGAACUCCCUGGAAGGACAGUCAGACCCUUCAGCUGCUGCCACCUUCUGCCCAAGCGUGAGGACUCCACCAUCCCAUUUUCUUUGUAUCCAGAACCUUCUCACUGAAAGGAGCUUUUACUAAAAAUGAAGUUCACAAUACAAAAGGCUUUGGACUCCUAAAAUAAAACUUAAGCCUGUGUGGGGAAA
Felis catus (domestic cat) is the source of this 877-nucleotide RNA transcript. It is a transcript of the gene named catenin alpha-2-like, with no coding region annotated. NCBI's taxonomy places the organism in Eukaryota, Metazoa, Chordata, Mammalia, Carnivora, Felidae. The transcript has 4 exons. The record is from RefSeq and is a predicted model, not a curated record.